UUUACUAAACCGUACUGAAAACCGACACAGGUGGUCAGGUAGAGAAUACUCAGGCGCUUGAGAGAACUCGGGUGAAGGAACUAGGCAAAAUAGCACCGUAACUUCGGGAGAAGGUGCGCUUACAGUAAUUGUAGUCCCUUGCGGAUGAAGGUGAAGUAAGUCGAAGAUACCAGCUGGCUGCAACUGUUUAUUAAAAACACAGCACUCUGCAAACACGAAAGUGGACGUAUAGGGUGUGAUGCCUGCCCGGUGCUGGAAGGUUAAUUGAUGGUGUUAUCGAAAGAGAAGCUCCUGAUCGAAGCCCCAGUAAACGGCGGCCGUAACUAUAACGGUCCUAAGGUAGCGAAAUUCCUUGUCGGGUAAGUUCCGACCUGCACGAAUGGCAUAAUGAUGGCCAGGCUGUCUCCACCCGAGACUCAGUGAAAUUGAAAUCGCCGUGAAGAUGCGGUGUACCCGCGGCUAGACGGAAAGACCCCGUGAACCUUUACUAUAGCUUGACACUGAACAUUGAAUUUUGAUGUGUAGGAUAGGUGGGAGCCUUUGAAGCAGUGACGCCAGUCAUUGUGGAGGCGACCUUGAAAUACCACCCUUUAACGUUUGAUGUUCUAACGAAGUGCCUGAAACGGGUACUCGGACAGUGUCUGGUGGGUAGUUUGACUGGGGCGGUCUCCUCCCAAAGCGUAACGGAGGAGCACGAAGGUUUGCUAAUGACGGUCGGACAUCGUCAGGUUAGUGCAAUGGUAUAAGCAAGCUUAACUGCGAGACAGACAAGUCGAGCAGGUGCGAAAGCAGGUCAUAGUGAUCCGGUGGUUCUGAAUGGAAGGGCCAUCGCUCAACGGAUAAAAGGUACUCCGGGGAUAACAGGCUGAUACCGCCCAAGAGUUCAUAUCGACGGCGGUGUUUGGCACCUCGAUGUCGGCUCAUCACAUCCUGGGGCUGAAGUAGGUCCCAAGGGUAUGGCUGUUCGCCAUUUAAAGUGGUACGCGAGCUGGGUUUAGAACGUCGUGAGACAGUUCGGUCCCUAUCUGCCGUGGGCGUUGGAUGAUUGAUUGGGGCUGCUCCUAGUACGAGAGGACCGGAGUGGACGCAUCACUGGUGUUCCAGUUGUCUCGCCAGAGGCAUUGCUGGGUAGCUAAAUGCGGAAGAGAUAAGUGCUGAAAGCAUCUAAGCACGAAACUUGCCAAGAGAUGAGUCAUCCCUGACUUUAAGUCAGUAAGGGUUGUUGUAGACUACGACGUAGAUAGGUUGGGUGUGUAAGUGUAGUGAUACAUUGAGCUAACCAAUACUAAUUGCCCGAGAGGCUUAACCAUA
This 1311-nucleotide ribosomal RNA is filed under the name Pasteurella multocida 671/90. RNAcentral's name for it is "bacterial LSU rRNA". It matches the Rfam family "Bacterial large subunit ribosomal RNA", at positions 1633 to 2925 of the family's 2925-position model. Lineage: Bacteria; Pseudomonadati; Pseudomonadota; Gammaproteobacteria; Pasteurellales; Pasteurellaceae. The record is from RNAcentral.